This 258-nucleotide ribosomal RNA is filed under the name Eleutherodactylus planirostris (greenhouse frog). RNAcentral's name for it is "partial 16S ribosomal RNA". It matches the Rfam family "Bacterial large subunit ribosomal RNA", at positions 2514 to 2836 of the family's 2925-position model. Lineage: Eukaryota; Metazoa; Chordata; Amphibia; Anura; Eleutherodactylidae. The record is from RNAcentral.
GGGCUUACGACCUCGAUGUUGGAUCAAGGUAUCCCGGUGGUGCAGCCGCUACCAAAGGUUCGUUUGUUCAACGAUUAAAACCUCACGUGAUCUGAGUUCAGACCGGAGAAAUCCAGGUCAGUUUCUAUCUGUAAAGAGCUCUUUCCAGUACGAAAGGACAGAAAUAGCAUGGCCAAUGUAUUAUACAAGCCAUACCUAAUAUUUUACGACUACUCUUAAAAAAUUAUUACCCUCUCAUUUUUACUCAAAAUAAGAGAA